UGCAAGUCGAACGGUAACAGGAAGCAGCUUGCUGCUUUGCUGACGAGUGGCGGACGGGUGAGUAAUGUCUGGGAAACUGCCUGAUGGAGGGGGAUAACUACUGGAAACGGUAGCUAAUACCGCAUAACGUCGCAAGACCAAAGAGGGGGACCUUCGGGCCUCUUGCCAUCGGAUGUGCCCAGAUGGGAUUAGCUUGUUGGUGGGGUAACGGCUCACCUAGGCGACGAUCCCUAGCUGGUCUGAGAGGAUGACCAGCCACACUGGAACUGAGACACGGUCCAGACUCCUACGGGAGGCAGCAGUGGGGAAUAUUGCACAAUGGGCGCAAGCCUGAUGCAGCCAUGCCGCGUGUAUGAAGAAGGCCUUCGGGUUGUAAAGUACUUUCAGCGGGGAGGAAGGGAGUAAAGUUAAUACCUUUGCUCAUUGACGUUACCCGCAGAAGAAGCACCGGCUAACUCCGUGCCAGCAGCCGCGGUAAUACGGAGGGUGCAAGCGUUAAUCGGAAUUACUGGGCGUAAAGCGCACGCAGGCGGUUUGUUAAGUCAGAUGUGAAAUCCCCGGGCUCAACCUGGGAACUGCAUCUGAUACUGGCAAGCUUGAGUCUCGUAGAGGGGGGUAGAAUUCCAGGUGUAGCGGUGAAAUGCGUAGAGAUCUGGAGGAAUACCGGUGGCGAAGGCGGCCCCCUGGACGAAGACUGACGCUCAGGUGCGAAAGCGUGGGGGAGCAAACAGGAUUAGAUACCCUGGA
This 747-nucleotide ribosomal RNA is filed under the name Escherichia coli. RNAcentral's name for it is "bacterial SSU rRNA". It matches the Rfam family "Bacterial small subunit ribosomal RNA", at positions 56 to 791 of the family's 1533-position model. The record is from RNAcentral. Lineage: Bacteria; Pseudomonadati; Pseudomonadota; Gammaproteobacteria; Enterobacterales; Enterobacteriaceae.